This 253-nucleotide ribosomal RNA is filed under the name uncultured bacterium. RNAcentral's name for it is "partial 16S ribosomal RNA". It matches the Rfam family "Bacterial small subunit ribosomal RNA", at positions 524 to 776 of the family's 1533-position model. The record is from RNAcentral.
UACGUAGGGUGCAAGCGUUAAUCGGAAUUACUGGGCGUAAAGCGUGCGCAGGCGGCUAUGCAAGACAGAUGUGAAAUCCCCGGGCUCAACCUGGGAACUGCAUUUGUGACUGCAUGGCUAGAGUACGGUAGAGGGGGAUGGAAUUCCGCGUGUAGCAGUGAAAUGCGUAGAUAUGCGGAGGAACACCGAUGGCGAAGGCAAUCCCCUGGACCUGUACUGACGCUCGUGCACGAAAGCGUGGGGAGCAAACAGG